AACACCACAGCUUAAUGUAGUAGAUGGCAGUGUAAAUUUC
Molecule: non-coding RNA, 40 nt
Filed under: Trypanosoma brucei brucei
Lineage: Eukaryota; Euglenozoa; Kinetoplastea; Trypanosomatida; Trypanosomatidae
Source: RNAcentral